ACACCGAAAUCGACUGGAGCACGUAUAUGCAACAAGUCGAGUGCUACGUGAACAAGGGGAUCCUCAACUACACGCAAAUCGGCGGUGACACGGGUCCCUGCGUCUACCCGGCCGGCCAUCUCUUCGUCUUCCGCUUGCUCCACUUUUUCACGAGCUCCGGCCGCAAUAUCCGCGCGGCUCAGCACAUUUUCCAAGGAUUCUACAUGUUUAAUCUAUUUAUGGUCUUUCGAAUCCUUCACAAGACUAUGCGGAUCCCGCCGAUCGUGCUGCUUCUCGUGUCGAUCACCGGCUAUCGGAUACACUCGAUUUUCGUGUUGCGGCUCUUCAACGAUCCUCUAGCUAUGAUGCUCUUCUACGUGGCAAUGGAUCGGUUUUUGGAGCAAAAAUGGCUUGUCGGAUGUGUUUUUUAUAGGUACCAGGUGCUUGCUCAUGGAUCCGAAAAAAUCGAUAUAUUUCCAGCCUGGCAGUAUCGAUUAAAAUGAACGUGUUGCUUUUCGCGCCGGCGCUGUUCUUCACACUUUUGCUCAACAAUAGUUAUAUGGCGACGUUGGGAUAUUUGACAGUUUGCGGG
RNAcentral lists this small RNA (571 nucleotides) under Caenorhabditis elegans. RNAcentral's name for it is "Unclassified non-coding RNA K09E4.8". Lineage: Eukaryota; Metazoa; Nematoda; Chromadorea; Rhabditida; Rhabditidae. The record is from RNAcentral.